UACGAAGGGGGCUAGCGUUGCUCGGAAUCACUGGGCGUAAAGCGCACGUAGGCGGCUUUCUAAGUCAGGGGUGAAAUCCUGGAGCUCAACUCCAGAACUGCCUUUGAUACUGGAGAGCUUGAGUCCGGAAGAGGUGAGUGGAACUCCGAGUGUAGAGGUGAAAUUCGUAGAUAUCAGGUGGAAUACCGGUGGCGAAGGCGGCCAAUUGGCCCAACACUGACGCUGAGAUACGAAAGCGUGGGGAUCAAACAGG
Molecule: ribosomal RNA, 253 nt
Filed under: uncultured bacterium
Lineage: Bacteria
Description: partial 16S ribosomal RNA
Rfam family: Bacterial small subunit ribosomal RNA
Source: RNAcentral